RNAcentral lists this ribosomal RNA (1220 nucleotides) under Klebsiella milletis. Its description in RNAcentral is "bacterial SSU rRNA". It matches the Rfam family "Bacterial small subunit ribosomal RNA", at positions 8 to 1221 of the family's 1533-position model. The record is from RNAcentral. Lineage: Bacteria; Pseudomonadati; Pseudomonadota; Gammaproteobacteria; Enterobacterales; Enterobacteriaceae.
AGAGUUUGAUCCUGGCUCAGAUUGAACGCUGGCGGCAGGCCUAACACAUGCAAGUCGAGCGGUAGCACAGAGAGCUUGCUCUCGGGUGACGAGCGGCGGACGGGUGAGUAAUGUCUGGGAAACUGCCUGAUGGAGGGGGAUAACUACUGGAAACGGUAGCUAAUACCGCAUAAUGUCGCAAGACCAAAGUGGGGGACCUUCGGGCCUCAUGCCAUCAGAUGUGCCCAGAUGGGAUUAGCUAGUAGGUGGGGUAACGGCUCACCUAGGCGACGAUCCCUAGCUGGUCUGAGAGGAUGACCAGCCACACUGGAACUGAGACACGGUCCAGACUCCUACGGGAGGCAGCAGUGGGGAAUAUUGCACAAUGGGCGCAAGCCUGAUGCAGCCAUGCCGCGUGUGUGAAGAAGGCCUUCGGGUUGUAAAGCACUUUCAGCGGGGAGGAAGGCGUUAAGGUUAAUAACCUUGGCGAUUGACGUUACCCGCAGAAGAAGCACCGGCUAACUCCGUGCCAGCAGCCGCGGUAAUACGGAGGGUGCAGGCGUUAAUCGGAAUUACUGGGCGUAAAGCGCACGCAGGCGGUCUGUCAAGUCGGAUGUGAAAUCCCCGGGCUCAACCUGGGAACUGCAUUCGAAACUGGCAGGCUAGAGUCUUGUAGAGGGGGGUAGAAUUCCAGGUGUAGCGGUGAAAUGCGUAGAGAUCUGGAGGAAUACCGGUGGCGAAGGCGGCCUCCUGGACAAAGACUGACGCUCAGGUGCGAAAGCGUGGGAGCAAACAGGAUUAGAUACCCUGGUAGUCCACGCCGUAAACGAUGUCGAUUUGGAGGUUGUGCCCUUGAGGCGUGGCUUCCGGAGCUAACGCGUUAAAUCGACCGCCUGGGGAGUACGGCCGCAAGGUUAAAACUCAAAUGAAUUGACGGGGGCCCGCACAAGCGGUGGAGCAUGUGGUUUAAUUCGAUGCAACGCGAAGAACCUUACCUGGUCUUGACAUCCACAGAACUUUCCAGAGAUGGAUUGGUGCCUUCGGGAACUGUGAGACAGGUGCUGCAUGGCUGUCGUCAGCUCGUGUUGUGAAAUGUUGGGUUAAGUCCCGCAACGAGCGCAACCCUUAUCCUUUGUUGCCAGCGGUCCGGCCGGGAACUCAAAGGAGACUGCCAGUGAUAAACUGGAGGAAGGCGGGGAUGACGUCAAGUCAUCAUGGCCCUUACGACCAGGGCUACACAC